ACCCUGNGGAGCUUUAGACACCAAGACAACUCAUGUUAAGUACCCCUAGACAAAGGACUGAACUUAAUGAAACCUUGAUCUGAUGUCUUUGGUUGGGGCGACCACGGGGAGAGAAAAAACCCCCACGUGGAACGGGAGCACUGCUUCCCCCACAACUAAAAGCGACAGCUCUAAGCAACAGAACAUCUGACCUUAAGAUCCGGCUCUCCUGCCGAUUAACGAACCGAGUUACCCCAGGGAUAACAGCGCAAUCCCCUUUUAGAGCUCAUAUCGACAAGGGAAUUUACGACCUCGAUGUUGGAUCAGGACAUCCUAAUGGUGCAGCCGCUAUUAAGGGUUCGUUUGUUCAACGAUUAAAGUCCUAC
This 365-nucleotide ribosomal RNA is filed under the name Platycephalus indicus (bartail flathead). RNAcentral describes it as "partial 16S ribosomal RNA". It matches the Rfam family "Bacterial large subunit ribosomal RNA", at positions 2088 to 2599 of the family's 2925-position model. The record is from RNAcentral. Lineage: Eukaryota; Metazoa; Chordata; Actinopteri; Perciformes; Platycephalidae.